RNAcentral lists this ribosomal RNA (253 nucleotides) under uncultured bacterium. RNAcentral describes it as "partial 16S ribosomal RNA". It matches the Rfam family "Bacterial small subunit ribosomal RNA", at positions 524 to 776 of the family's 1533-position model. The record is from RNAcentral.
GACGAACCGUGCGAACGUUGUUCGGAAUCACUGGGCUUAAAGGGCGCGUAGGCGGGCGAUCAAGUCAGAGGUGAAAUCCUGCGGCUCAACCGUAGAAGAGCCCCUGAUACUGAUUGUCUCGAGGGAGAUAGGGGCAUGUGGAACUUCCGGUGGAGCGGUGAAAUGCGUAGAUAUCGGAAGGAACGCCGGUGGCGAAAGCGACGUGCUGGAUCUCUUCUGACGCUGAGGCGCGAAAGCUAGGGGAGCAAACGGG